Molecule: ribosomal RNA, 650 nt
Filed under: uncultured bacterium
Lineage: Bacteria
Description: bacterial SSU rRNA
Rfam family: Bacterial small subunit ribosomal RNA
Source: RNAcentral
GCAAGUCGAACGCAGUAGCAAUACUGAGUGGCAAACGGGUGAGUAUAAUGUGGGAAUCUGCCUUUUGGUUUGGAAUAACACGGGGAAACUUGUGCUAAUACCGAAUAAGCCCUUACGGGGAAAGUUUUAAUGCCGAAAGAUGAGCCCGCACUUGAUUAGCUAGUUGGUAAGGUAAAAGCUUACCAAGGCAACGAUCAAUAGCUGUUCUUAGAGGAAGACCAGCCACAUUGGGACUGAGACACGGCCCAGACUCCUACGGGAGGCAGCAGUGGGGAAUCUUGCACAAUGGGGGAAACCCUGAUGCAGCGAUGCCGCGUGAGUGAAGAAGGCCUUUGGGUUGUAAAACUCUUUCGUCGGGGAAGAAAAUGACUGUACCCGAAUAAGAAGGUCCGGCUAACUUCGUGCCAGCAGCCGCGGUAAUACGAAGGGACCUAGCGUAGUUCGGAAUUACUGGGCUUAAAGAGCUCGUAGGUGGUUAAAAAAGUUGAUGGUGAAAUCCCAAGGCUUAACCUUGGAACUGCCAUCAAAACUUUUUAGCUAGAGUGUGAUAGAGGUAAGUGGAAUUUCUAGUGUAGAGGUGAAAUUCGUAGAUAUUAGAAAGAACACCAAAUGCGAAGGCAACUUACUGGGUCACUACUGACACUGAGGAG